CAAGCUAUAUAAAUAAGUAUUUAAUAUAAUAAAAGUGUAGAGCAACAACCGAGGGUGUAAGGUAAAGGCUGAAUAUUGUAGAUUUAUUACAAUAUGUUGCAUGUUUGAAUUAAAAUACCUGUGGAUAUGCAACUUCCCACUAAUGAAAGUUUUAUUCAAAAGGAGCACACUCUACAAAGGCCUGACUGGAGAUUUGCCUGAUCUAUCCGUCCUUCAGAUGACAGCGGCUCGCUUCAAGAGCAGGUGAAGCAAGUUGGGACAAUGUUGAAGACAUUUGCUCGCACUGGGCAAUCAGGUGCAGAUCAAACCCUAAUGCUGCGACGUCUUGGAAUUUGGC
Molecule: long non-coding RNA, 337 nt
Organism: Xyrauchen texanus (razorback sucker)
Lineage: Eukaryota; Metazoa; Chordata; Actinopteri; Cypriniformes; Catostomidae
Exons: 3
Source: RefSeq, a predicted model, not a curated record